RNAcentral lists this long non-coding RNA (307 nucleotides) under Gallus gallus (chicken). Lineage: Eukaryota; Metazoa; Chordata; Aves; Galliformes; Phasianidae. The record is from RNAcentral.
CCCACGUACAUGCGGUCGUGGUCCUCGUCCUUCAGCAGGAUGCGGUAGUCACUGGAGUUGAGCAGGAAGUUGAAGAAGUGCGCGGUGCCGGUGGCCUUCAGCUCUUUGAAGGAGAGCUGCACCCUGGGGGUAGGAGGCACGCCGUCCUUGCCGUGGGCUGCCCGCCAGCCCAGGGUCAGCAGGGUGGCCCAGAGCAGGACGGUGGCCACGGGCAUGGUGGGGGCACGCUGGGGGCAGUCCGGGAGGAGCACGCCUCUGCGGGGGCUCAGCGCCGCGCCGGGCACCCGCGGCCCCCCGCCAUGUCGCG